This 462-nucleotide ribosomal RNA is filed under the name uncultured bacterium. RNAcentral's name for it is "partial 16S ribosomal RNA". It matches the Rfam family "Bacterial small subunit ribosomal RNA", at positions 28 to 507 of the family's 1533-position model. The record is from RNAcentral.
GACGAACGCUGGCGGCGUGCUUAACACAUGCAAGUCGAGCGGUAAGGCCUUUCGGGGUACCCGAGCGGCGAACGGGUGAGUAACACGUGGGUGAUCUGCCCUGCACUUCGGGAUAAGCCUGGGAAACUGGGUCUAAUACCGGAUAUGACCUCCUAUCGCAUGGUGGGUGGUGGAAAGAUUUAUCGGUGCAGGAUGGGCCCGCGGCCUAUCAGCUUGUUGGUGGGGUAAUGGCCUACCAAGGCGACGACGGGUAGCCGACCUGAGAGGGUGACCGGCCACACUGGGACUGAGACACGGCCCAGACUCCUACGGGAGGCAGCAGUGGGGAAUAGUGCACAAUGGGCGAAAGCCUGAUGCAGCGACGCCGCGUGAGGGAUGACGGCCUUCGGGUUGUAAACCUCUUUCAGCAGGGACGAAGCGCAAGUGACGGUACCUGCAGAAGAAGCACCGGCUAACUACGUG